This 605-nucleotide ribosomal RNA is filed under the name uncultured bacterium. RNAcentral describes it as "bacterial SSU rRNA". The stretch from base 1 to 515 matches the Rfam family "Bacterial small subunit ribosomal RNA", at positions 338 to 873 of the family's 1533-position model. The record is from RNAcentral.
CCUACGGGAGGCAGCAGUGGGGAAUCUUGCGCAAUGGGCGAAAGCCUGACGCAGCCAUGCCGCGUGAAUGAUGAAGGUCUUAGGAUUGUAAAAUUCUUUCACCGGGGACGAUAAUGACGGUACCCGGAGAAGAAGCCCCGGCUAACUUCGUGCCAGCAGCCGCGGUAAUACGAAGGGGGCUAGCGUUGCUCGGAAUUACUGGGCGUAAAGGGAGCGUAGGCGGAUAGUUUAGUCAGAGGUGAAAGCCCAGGGCUCAACCUUGGAAUUGCCUUUGAUACUGGCUAUCUUGAGUUUGGGAGAGGUGAGUGGAACUCCGAGUGUAGAGGUGAAAUUCGUAGAUAUUCGGAAGAACACCAGUGGCGAAGGCGACUCACUGGCCCAAUACUGACGCUGAGGCUCGAAAGCGUGGGGAGCAAACAGGAUUAGAUACCCUGGUAGUCCACGCCGUAAACGAUGAGUGCUAGUUGUCGGCANNNANGNAUGUCGGUGCGCNGCUACGACAUAGACACNCCGCCGUCGGGAGGUACGGUCGCGAGAAGUUAAACGUUAAAGUAAAGUUAGUUAGGUCGUUGAGACGUUGCGACGGACGACGACGAGGGAGGAGG